This is a non-coding RNA of Paramisgurnus dabryanus, 1537 nucleotides long. The record is from RefSeq and is a predicted model, not a curated record. NCBI's taxonomy places the organism in Eukaryota, Metazoa, Chordata, Actinopteri, Cypriniformes, Cobitidae.
UCUAAAAAACGUUGGGUUGUUUUUUCAACCCAACUGCUGGGUUGAGCCAGUUGGGUUAUUUUGUUGGGUUGUUUUAUCAGUGUUGGGUAGUUUUUGUGUAACCCAACUUGUUGGGUUAUAUGUUGGGUAAUUUUGAAGCAGAGCCAACUUAAUAGAUACAUAUAGCUGUUUCUCAAUAUUACUUUCUCUAGUCCACAAAAUGUAUUUUAAACAUAAGUUCAGGCGAGAAUAUAUAUGUAUAAUGUUCAAAUUUGCAGUCGGUUUGUAAAGUGAACGCCAAUUUUAAAGUUUAAUUUCAAACAGUCGGAAUGUUACCGGCGCGACCACCGGGUGUCAGUGUUGUUCUUCCCCAGAGAGAACUUCUCCCUUCCCCCACACAGACACGUCAGACUCCUCCUGCCACAGCACGCUACCUGACGCGGGAAUUUAACAUCACCUCAGGAUUCAUAAACGGUUUUUCAUCGACUUCUCUUUGAUUUAUUUGAAGGAAAAGACCCUGAUGGAUAAAAGAUGGAUAUUUUCUCCUGGAGAAGCUAAAACAAUGUCACUUUGAGGUUCUGAUACCAGCUUUUACAAAGUUAUUUACAGAGUUCACAAGACUUCUCUGUGUUAUUCCCUGACCAUGCCGAAAAGCUAUUUGAAACUUGGGCACUGCAUUUUACAGACAGAAUCCUGCAACUUCCCAGCCAAGAACCAGGAGCAUCAACAAAUCACCUACAGAACCCCAUGAUGAUAUUCCAACUCAUGUCUACAAAAGUGGGAAGAAAAUCUUAAGUUUAUGUUGGGACCAACAUGGUUGCAUUCUUCUGAGAGGCUGAGGUGACAAAACCAUUCCCAUUUGUCCUUGGAUUGGAAGAUGACGAUCUCUGCCAUCAAGCCUUCGUUGUUUUUGACAGACAGUCACUCCAGCAAUACACCCUCCUUGGUGAUGUUGACAUGCUUUAAACUUUUUUUUAUGUUUUGGACAUUCAUUUUACUAAGCAGUGCACAUCAGUGUGGGUGUUUUUGAAGACUGUUGUUUACGAACUCCCAAGAACGGAAUCCCUUUCUAUAAGAAGUCUGUGUAGUUAUUUGUCAUGCUAGGGUGAUAACUCAUGUUGAUCAUAUAUUGACUGUUUGUGCAACUUAGUGUUGAUCUUAUGUGUUACAUUAACCAUUUCUUAUUAUACGGUUCUCUAAAAUGCUAGAUUCUGAUUGGCCAGUCGUGACAUUCUACUACUGCUCAAAACUAAAAACUCCAAUGCUGCAAAUCAUUUUGACAGGUACAGUUUUAUAUUACACAAAAAUUAAAUAUCAAUGUCUAUUAAUAACAUAUCCGACAUUAAAUUUACAAAUGAUUAAACCAAUGUGUUUGUGACAUUUCUCCUGAAGAAACUGUUGGGGCUUUUUUCUGUGAUGACAUGCUGCCAAUACAUUAUCCCUUACUUGUACAACUUUUUACUUGAUCUAAUUGUAAUGUUAACCGGGUAUCUGUCAUUUUAGAUUGUGAGAUAUAAUACUAAUAUAUUUUUUUUAUUAGAAAGUUGAUUGUUUGUGU